This is a long non-coding RNA of Sinocyclocheilus anshuiensis, 232 nucleotides long. RefSeq lists it as uncharacterized. The transcript is spliced from 3 exons. The record is from RefSeq and is a predicted model, not a curated record. Lineage: Eukaryota; Metazoa; Chordata; Actinopteri; Cypriniformes; Cyprinidae.
UAACUAACAGACAUGAUCACAGAUCCAGCAGAAGCUGAAGUCAGUAGGACUGCUGGAUUAUUAUUCAGAGUGAUUGUGAUUAUUGUUGAGUUUGCAGCGUUUGCUGCUCCUACUGUGAUUCUUCUUCAGAUCAUCUGUACAAGAAGAGCUGGGAGGAAGGACUCGCAGCACCCAGAGGAAAUAGAGAUUAAUACAAUAUUAGAGUAAAAUACUCUACAAAUAACAGAUUACA